This 307-nucleotide unclassified non-coding RNA is filed under the name Hevea brasiliensis (rubber tree). Lineage: Eukaryota; Viridiplantae; Streptophyta; Magnoliopsida; Malpighiales; Euphorbiaceae. The record is from RNAcentral.
CUGGAUCUUGUUUAUUCCCUGUUUUCUCGUCUACGUCAUUAUUACUUUUCUCAACUUGAAGUGAUUCCUCUUCAACUUUUGCCUCUAGUUUUAAGCUUGCUGUACUGGGUAGCAAGCUUAGCUGGCUUUGUAGAGUUCUUUGGCAAUGGCAUAGAUCUUGGGUUUUUGGCCAUCUUAUUUGCUCUCAAUCUAGCUUCCUUAGCCUUGUGCUUCUUGCCUCGGAGAUGUUCAAUCAAACCUCUUUCACUUGUAGCGCUAACCUGACAUAGGGCGCAGCUCCAAUCUUCCUUGAGUUUCUUCUUUAAAC